UACGGAAGGCAGCAGUGGGGAAUAUUGCACAAUGGGCGCAAGCCUGAUGCAGCCAUGCCGCGUGUAUGAAGAAGGCCUUCGGGUUGUAAAGUACUUUCAGUCGUGAGGAAGGUGUUAAGGUUAAUAACCUUAGCAAUUGACGUUAGCGACAGAAGAAGCACCGGCUAACUCCGUGCCAGCAGCCGCGGUAAUACGGAGGGUGCGAGCGUUAAUCGGAAUUACUGGGCGUAAAGGGCACGCAGGCGGUUAAUUAAGUUGGAUGUGAAAUCCCCGGGCUUAACCUGGGAAUGGCAUUCAAGACUGGUUAGCUAGAGUCUUGUAGAGGGGGUAGAAUUCCAUGUGUAGCGGUGAAAUGCGUAGAGAUGUGGAGGAAUACCGGUGGCGAAGGCGGCCCCUGGGACAAAGACUGACGCUCAUGUGUGAAAGCGUGGGGAGCAAACAGGGAUUAGAUACC
RNAcentral lists this ribosomal RNA (454 nucleotides) under uncultured bacterium. RNAcentral describes it as "bacterial SSU rRNA". It matches the Rfam family "Bacterial small subunit ribosomal RNA", at positions 340 to 786 of the family's 1533-position model. The record is from RNAcentral.